Molecule: ribosomal RNA, 1411 nt
Filed under: Listeria innocua
Lineage: Bacteria; Bacillati; Bacillota; Bacilli; Caryophanales; Listeriaceae
Description: partial 23S ribosomal RNA
Rfam family: Bacterial large subunit ribosomal RNA
Source: RNAcentral
GGAACCCACUAUCUUUAGUCGGAUAGUAUCCUUACGUGAAUACAUAGCGUGAGGAAGGCAGACCCAGGGAACUGAAACAUCUAAGUACCUGGAGGAAGAGAAAGAAAAAUCGAUUUCCUGAGUAGCGGCGAGCGAAACGGAAAGAGCCCAAACCAAGAAGCUUGCUUCUUGGGGUUGUAGGACACUCUAUACGGAGUUACAAAAGAAAGUUAUAAAUGAAGCGGUCUGGAAAGGCCCGCCAAAGACGGUAACAGCCCGGUAGUUGAAAUGGCUUUCCCUCCAGAGUGGAUCCUGAGUACGGCGGAACACGUGAAAUUCCGUCGGAAUCCGGGAGGACCAUCUCCCAAGGCUAAAUACUCCCUAGUGACCGAUAGUGAACCAGUACCGUGAGGGAAAGGUGAAAAGCACCCCGGAAGGGGAGUGAAACAGUUCCUGAAACCGUGUGCCUACAAGUAGUUAGAGCCCGUUAAUGGGUGAUAGCGUGCCUUUUGUAGAAUGAACCGGCGAGUUACGAUUUGUUGCAAGGUUAAGCGGAAAAAGCGGAGCCGUAGCGAAAGCGAGUCUGAAUAGGGCGCAUAAGUAACAGGUCGUAGACCCGAAACCAGGUGAUCUACCCAUGUCCAGGAUGAAGGUAAGGUAAUACUUACUGGAGGUCCGAACCCACGCACGUUGAAAAGUGCGGGGAUGAGGUGUGGGUAGCGGAGAAAUUCCAAUCGAACUUGGAGAUAGCUGGUUCUCUCCGAAAUAGCUUUAGGGCUAGCCUCGAGGUAAAGAGUCAUGGAGGUAGAGCACUGUUUGGACUAGGGGCCCUUCUCGGGUUACCGAAUUCAGAUAAACUCCGAAUGCCAUGUACUUAUACUCGGGAGUCAGACUGCGAGUGAUAAGAUCCGUAGUCGAAAGGGAAACAGCCCAGACCACCAGUUAAGGUCCCCAAAUAUAUGUUAAGUGGAAAAGGAUGUGGGGUUGCUUAGACAACCAGGAUGUUGGCUUAGAAGCAGCCACCAUUGAAAGAGUGCGUAAUAGCUCACUGGUCGAGUGACCCCGCGCCGAAAAUGUACCGGGGCUAAACAUAUUACCGAAACUGUGGAUGAACCUCUUCGGAGGUUCGUGGUAGGAGAGCGUUCUAAGGGCGGUGAAGUCAGACCGGAAGGACUGGUGGAGCGCUUAGAAGUGAGAAUGCCGGUAUGAGUAGCGAAAGAAGGGUGAGAAUCCCUUCCACCGAAUAUCUAAGGUUUCCUGAGGAAGGCUCGUCCGCUCAGGGUUAGUCGGGACCUAAGCCGAGGCCGAUAGGCGUAGGCGAUGGACAACAGGUAGAGAUUCCUGUACCAGUGCUAAUUGUUUAACCGAUGGGGUGACACAGAAGGAUAGGGAAUCGCACGAAUGGAAAUGUGCGUCCAAGCAGUGAGUGUGA